GUGCUUGCUUCAGCAACAUAUAUACUAAAACUGGGAACAAUACAGAGAAGAUUAGCAUGGCCACUGUGCAAAAUAAUGGUCAUAAAGAUAAUAACCCUACACAC
This is a small nuclear RNA of Camelus dromedarius (Arabian camel), 104 nucleotides long. Lineage: Eukaryota; Metazoa; Chordata; Mammalia; Artiodactyla; Camelidae. The record is from Ensembl.